RNAcentral lists this long non-coding RNA (390 nucleotides) under Populus trichocarpa (black cottonwood). Its description in RNAcentral is "long non-coding RNA (PTRI_LNC003960)". Lineage: Eukaryota; Viridiplantae; Streptophyta; Magnoliopsida; Malpighiales; Salicaceae. The record is from RNAcentral.
CCUCAUUGCCUUUGUCUCUCUCAUUAUUCCUAAAACAGUCAUCAAAAUCAUUACCAUCUAAAGGAUUAUUACUGCUACUACUAGUACCAGCACCGAUAUUAGGAACAUUAGUGCUACUACUAGUACCAGGACCAACACCAAUAUUGUCAACAAUAUUUAACUCCAAGCUCCUUGAAUUAUCUGGAUUAACAUCAUUCUGAAUCUCUAAAUCAUCUUCAGUUCCAUGACACUCCAUCCCAACAUUAUUAAGAUUUUCUUCAUCAUCACUUUCAUCUUCUUUACCGUUUUUCCUUCGUGUUGCACUAUCAAUGACACCAAGCAAAUCAAAGUUGGAUGAACCAUCAUGUUUCUCUCCCUCGGUUAUCCAAUCAUCAUCAGAUGAGAGAUGAU